Long non-coding RNA from Papaver somniferum (opium poppy), 883 nucleotides. RefSeq lists it as uncharacterized. The transcript is spliced from 2 exons. NCBI's taxonomy places the organism in Eukaryota, Viridiplantae, Streptophyta, Magnoliopsida, Ranunculales, Papaveraceae. The record is from RefSeq and is a predicted model, not a curated record.
AGAACACCUAAGACUCCGUCAGAUCCUAGAAUUCCUACACCUCCAACAACACCCAUUACCACACCAGCAACUCAAACUUGACGAACACCUAGGACUCCAACAACUCCUUCGUCUCCCAAAACUCCAAGAACCCCCAGGACUCCAUCAGAUCCUAGAAUUCCCACACCUCCAACAACACCCACCACUCCGACACCUCCAACAACACCAACACCUCCCACUACUACGCCAACAACUCAAACUCGACGGACACCUAGGACUCCAACAACUCCUUCAACUCCGAAAACUCCAAGAACCCCCAGGACUCCGUCAGAUCCUAGAAUUCCCACACCUCCAACAACACCCACGACUCCAACACCUCCAACAACACCAACACCUCCCACUACUCAAACUCGACGAACACCUAGGACUCCCACAACUCCUUCAACUCCCAAAACUCCAAGAACCCCCAGGACUCCAUCAGAUCCUAGAAUUCCCACACCUCCAACAACACCCACGACUCCAACACCUCCAACAACACCAACACCUCCCACCACUACACCAGAAAUUCAAGCAGGGAAGGCAAAAGGAACUGUGAUUAUUCACAGACAGCAACAUUAACUUCCACGAAUCCCAGUUAUAAAAGUUGUGAUUAUCCUGGUGGAAGUACUUAAAGAAGAAGAGGAAAAAGAAGAUGGAUAAAGAAUAACUGUUUAAAAAUCUCUUUACUAUUGUGAUAAGUUAAUAAUUAUAAGGCAAGUACUUGAGUGAAACAAGUAUGGUAAGAAGAGUCCAAUAAGAAAUUGUAUUGUGUUGUAAUAAUUCAGUGAAGGUCACUGCCCCUCUCUUUCUACCUGUGAAUAAGAGAGGGGGAGUUUGAUAAAUAAAAAUGAAAAACUGUGUUUGA